Molecule: ribosomal RNA, 117 nt
Filed under: Methanosarcina mazei
Lineage: Archaea; Methanobacteriati; Methanobacteriota; Methanomicrobia; Methanosarcinales; Methanosarcinaceae
Also listed under: 1 other name
Source: RNAcentral
UCCAGUGAUAAUGGCGGAAGGGUCACACCUGUUCCCAUACCGAACACAGAAGUUAAGCCUUCCAGCGCUGAUGGUACUUGGGCGGAGACGCCCUGGGAGAGUAGGACAUCGCUGGUU